RNAcentral lists this ribosomal RNA (488 nucleotides) under uncultured bacterium. RNAcentral describes it as "bacterial SSU rRNA". It matches the Rfam family "Bacterial small subunit ribosomal RNA", at positions 501 to 987 of the family's 1533-position model. The record is from RNAcentral.
CUACGUGCCAGCAGCCGCGGUAAUACGUAGGGUGCGAGCGUUAAUCGGAAUUACUGGGCGUAAAGCGGGCGCAGACGGUUACUUAAGCAGGAUGUGAAAUCCCCGGGCUCAACCUGGGAACUGCGUUYUGAACUGGGUGACUAGAGUGUGUCAGAGGGAGGUAGAAUUCCACGUGUAGCAGUGAAAUGCGUAGAGAUGUGGAGGAAUACCGAUGGCGAAGGCAGCCUCCUGGGAUAACUCUGACGUUCAUGCCCGAAAGCGUGGGUAGCAAACAGGAUUAGAUACCCUGGUAGUCCACGCCCUAAACGAUGUCGAUUAGCUGUUGGGCAGCAUGACUGCUUAGUAGCGAAGCUAACGCGUGAAAUCGACCGCCUGGGGAGUACGGUCGCAAGAUUAAAACUCAAAGGAAUUGACGGGGACCCGCACAAGCGGUGGAUGAUGUGGAUUAAUUCGAUGCAACGCGAAGAACCUUACCUUGGUCUUGACAU